GACGUAGGGCUCGAGCGUUGUCCGGAUUUAUUGGGCGUAAAGAGCUCGUAGGCGGUCUGUCGCGUCGGUCGUGAAAACUUGGGGCUUAACCCCGAGCUUGCGGUCGAUACGGGCAUGACUGGAGUUCGGCAGGGGAGACUGGAAUUCCUGGUGUAGCGGUGAAAUGCGCAGAUAUCAGGAGGAACACCGGUGGCGAAGGCGGGUCUCUGGGCCGAUACUGACGCUGAGGAGCGAAAGCGUGGGGAGCAAACAGG
RNAcentral lists this ribosomal RNA (254 nucleotides) under uncultured bacterium. Its description in RNAcentral is "partial 16S ribosomal RNA". It matches the Rfam family "Bacterial small subunit ribosomal RNA", at positions 524 to 776 of the family's 1533-position model. The record is from RNAcentral.